GAGGGUAUAGCUCAAGUGGUAGAGCGUAUGCUUAGCAUGCAUGAGGUCCUGGGUUCAAUCCCCAGUAGCCUCC
RNAcentral lists this transfer RNA (73 nucleotides) under Camelus bactrianus (Bactrian camel). It matches the Rfam family "tRNA". Rfam says of the family: Transfer RNA (tRNA) molecules are approximately 80 nucleotides in length. Their secondary structure includes four short double-helical elements and three loops (D, anti-codon, and T loops). RNAcentral also lists the same sequence under 2 other names. The record is from Rfam by way of RNAcentral. Lineage: Eukaryota; Metazoa; Chordata; Mammalia; Artiodactyla; Camelidae.